GCCGGGAUGCGGCAGUCAGCGGAAUCUAGGAAGGGAGGGUCGGGUGGGGGCAGACCCACUUUCUGGGGUGCGCCCUCCUAUCCUGUAAGGAGAGGGCUCCUGAUGGAAAAGGCGUGGCGCUGGGUUUUAUUCCCGACCCCCCGUGUGGUUAGCCUCUGGGAAGUGUGCGCAGCUAGUGGGUCCGCUAAUGAGGUCACGAGGCGAAUCUCGCUUCUCAGAAAUCUUGGAUUCAAAGUCCUCAGGUCGUCAACCCCCCGCGGUUCCACAGCCCUUGGAGGACUGGUACCCUGAGGACCUUCUGCAGGUAUCCGGUGGAUGAACACAGCUGGAAUCAGUGCUACACAACAGAGGGGAGCAAGAGAGGCGCUUCCCUGAGGACCGGAUGUGAGGGACAAGUAGCAGCUGACAGGCUCCCACGUGCCCCGGAACCAGAGCCCAGGACCCUGCUGCGGACACACAGCCUCCGAGGGAGCGGGGUGCUGGGCCGCACAAGCCCCCCUCUCCAGACGCCUCGGCCUCCAGGCUCCUACCCCUGUCCAGAGGCCCUGCAGGGGGCUCCCGGCGAUGCUUCCAGUCCGCAGGCAGGGUGCUGUGGUUAUCCUGCCCGUGAGCCCCCCCUGGCCGCUCAGGGACCUGCAGGCUGCCGAAGAGCUGACUGCCCGGAAGCUGGUAGGGGAGGGGCGGAAGGGGGAGAGAACACACAAGGAUGGAGCUUUCCAGAGAAGUAGGUGUGCGCCCCCCCCAACCGCGGUGCCUUCCCUCCCCCAGCACUGACCUUGUUCGGGGGCGGGGGUUUCGGUGAGCACUGUGACAGGGUGUGGUAGCUGGGGUUGGAGUAGUAGUGGCUGUAGCUGGGAGGGACAUCUGCGCGAACAGACGGGGCGCGUCGUGACCUGGCCGGUCAGCGAGAGGCCCGGGCCCGAGACAGUUGUUCUGUCCCGGCAGAUCUGACCUCUCUUCUCCCCUCCAGCUCCCCGCUUCGCCUCUUCCGGGUCCAGGGAGGGACACGGGAGCCCCGCACCCCAUCCGCCCGGAGCCCACGCGCCAGCCCCGCGUCGUGUCCCCCGCCCCCGGGCCAGCUCACCUGGCAUGACGUACUCGGAGCCAUCCAGCCGCCCGCUGCUGUAGGCCACGGCCAGGUGUUGGUGUGCCUUGCCUUUUUGCCAAUGGCGGUAGCCGAUGAACAGUGCCAGCAGGGCCACCACCAGGGACCCCAGCACCGCGAUGCCAAUCACUGCCCCCAGCGAGUUAUAGGCCACCGGAGAGGGGGCGCCGCUGUGCCCCGGGGGACACACACAGGCUCCCGUCUCCGGGUGGCACCUCUCUCCAGGACCACACUGGCAGGACUGGGAGCAGUUGGCACCAAACAUCCCCGGAGAGCAGCCUGCGGGACAGGCAAGGAGGCAGUGGGGUUGAGGGACCCAGAUCUGCAGUGUCCGCCUUGGGCUUGGGGGCAGGGCGGGAGUUUCCCUUCUCUGGGUACCUUCUAAGCAGAGGUAUCCAGUCCAGCCUGGGGGGCAGAAACAGCUCCCAUCCUGGGGGUGGCAGGCCCCCCCCUGGCGGCACUGGCAGGGCUGGGCGCAGUUGGCUCCCCAGUGUCCUAGAGGGCACGCUGCAGGAGACAAGGUGGCUGUCCGGUGGGGCAGGGCCACCCCCGUCUGGAUGAACCCUCAGCUCCCAGCUCCCUGAAAUCUUCUCAGCCUUGGUCUCCCGGGGACACCAAGUUUUUGAACCGCAGCCACACACCGAUGAGUCACACAUGCUUAUCACGUGCCCAGCUGCCUACUGGAACCUGCACUUGGCUAUCUAGCAGCCAUUUCAGACUCGCGGGGCCAGGGCCAGACAACCAAAGGCUUUCAAACUACCCUGCGUUGCUUAGCUCUGGUUUCUUUUUUCCGUCUUUAUCAUAAGAGAGAAGUAAACCCUUUGAGGCAUAA
Felis catus (domestic cat) is the source of this 1937-nucleotide long non-coding RNA. RefSeq lists it as uncharacterized. Lineage: Eukaryota; Metazoa; Chordata; Mammalia; Carnivora; Felidae. The transcript has 4 exons. The record is from RefSeq and is a predicted model, not a curated record.